AUAUUAAAUAAGUGCCUGAAGAGCGGACGCCGAAAACAAAGGCAAAGCCAAAGGCUCAGAACCUUGAAAAUUUUAUAGUUUUGAAAGCUAGUAUACACCUUAAGCGUUGCGGUAGUAAAGAAUAAAAACCGAAGCUGAAGGUUAAAAAAAUCAGCGAAAAGAGCGUACACGAGUGAGAUUCACUCUUUGUACAAGGAAUCAAAACGGAGAGUUUGAUCCUGGCUCAGGAUGAACGCUGGCGGUAUGCUUAACACAUGCAAGUCGAACGGACUCUUCGGAGCUAGUGGCGGACGGGGGAGUAACGCGUGAGAAUCUGGCGUCAGGUUCGGGACAACAGUUGGAAACGGCUGCUAAUACCGGAUGUGCCCUGGGGUGAAAGAUUUAUCACCUGAAGAUGAGCUCGCGUCUGAUUAGCUAGUAGGUGUGGUAAGAGCGCACCUAGGCGACGAUCAGUAGCUGGUCUGAGAGGAUGAUCAGCCACACUGGGACUGAGACACGGCCCAGACUCCUACGGGAGGCAGCAGUGGGGAAUUUUCCGCAAUGGGCGAAAGCCUGACGGAGCAAUACCGCGUGAGGGAGGAAGGCUCUUGGGUUGUAAACCUCUUUUCUCAGGGAAGAAUGAUGACGGUACCUGAGGAAUAAGCAUCGGCUAACUCCGUGCCAGCAGCCGCGGUAAUACGGAGGAUGCAAGCGUUAUCCGGAAUGAUUGGGCGUAAAGCGUCCGCAGGUGGCAAUGUAAGUCUGCUGUCAAAGCGUCUGGCUCAACCAGAUAAAGGCAGUGGAAACUACAUAGCUAGAGUAAGGUAGGGGUAGAGGGAAUUCCUGGUGUAGCGGUGAAAUGCGUAGAGAUCAGGAAGAACACCGGUGGCGAAAGCGCUCUGCUGGACCUUAACUGACACUGAGGGACGAAAGCUAGGGGAGCGAAUGGGAUUAGAUACCCCAGUAGUCCUAGCCGUAAACGAUGGAUACUAGGCGUUGCCCGUAUCGACCCGGGCAGUGUCGUAGCUAACGCGUUAAGUAUCCCGCCUGGGGAGUACGCAGGCAACUGUGAAACUCAAAGGAAUUGACGGGGGCCCGCACAAGCGGUGGAGUAUGUGGUUUAAUUCGAUGCAACGCGAAGAACCUUACCAGGGCUUGACAUGUCCGGAAUCCUCUUGAAAGGGAGGAGUGCCUUCGGGAGCCGGAACACAGGUGGUGCAUGGCUGUCGUCAGCUCGUGUCGUGAGAUGUUGGGUUAAGUCCCGCAACGAGCGCAACCCUCGUUCUUAGUUGCCAUCAUUAAGUUGGGAACUCUAAGGAGACUGCCGGUGACAAACCGGAGGAAGGUGGGGAUGACGUCAAGUCAGCAUGCCCCUUACGCCCUGGGCUACACACGUACUACAAUGCUAUGGACAAAGGGCAGCAAGCCAGCGAUGGCAAGCAAAUCUCGUAAACCAUGGCUCAGUUCAGAUCGCAGGCUGCAACUCGCCUGCGUGAAGUCGGAAUCGCUAGUAAUUGCAGGUCAGCAUACUGCAGUGAAUUCGUUCCCGGGCCUUGUACACACCGCCCGUCACACCAUGGAAGCUGGUCACGCCCGAAGUCGUUACCCUAACCUUUCGAGGAGGGGGACGCCGAAGGUAGGACUGGUGACUGGGGUGAAGUCGUAACAAGGUAGCCGUACCGGAAGGUGUGGCUGGAUCACCUCCUUUUUAGGGAGACCUACCUAAAGAACAAAGAACAAAGAACAAAGAACAAGAAAUUUUUGUUUUUUUCUUCUUGAUAAAAUGUUCUGUCUUUAGGACAUCCCGAGGUCGGUCGCAAUCUUAAGGUAAGCUUUCAAACUAUAAACAGGGUUCGAUUAUGGGCUAUUAGCUCAGGUGGUUAGAGCGCACCCCUGAUAAGGGUGAGGUCCCUGGUUCGAGUCCAGGAUGGCCCACCUGAAGACAGUGAACACUCAACAGCGAACAGUCAACAGUAAAAAACUGGUAGCUGGUAACUGGUAAGUGAAAACUGACUUAGGGGGGUUUAGCUCAGUUGGUAGAGCGCCUGCUUUGCAAGCAGGAUGUCAGCGGUUCGAGUCCGCUAACCUCCACCUACUCCACCAAAAAAAAUGCCACAAAAAAAAUUGCUGAGAAGCAACAAGCAAAAAAAGUGAGAGAAAACUUUUUGUUGGCAAACGAGGGUGGUAGAAUGAGAAAAUGUGGGUGAAUUCAGCAAUAUGACGUUCGUCAGACUGCUGGGUGUGAACCAGCCAGAACCUUGAAAACUGCAUAGUAACGCGAAGCAGGUAGACACAGACAUACUAUGAUUGCAUGGAUGAAAGUGUUUGCUGAUAUAGAUUUCACCAAUUGUUGAGUGGUCAAGCGAAUAAGGGCUAAUGGUGGAUACCUAGGCACACAGAGGCGAAGAAGGACGUGGUGACCGACGAAACGCUCCGGGGAGCUGGAAGCAAGCGACUGAGCCGGAGAUAUCCGAAUGGGGCAACCCCAAGUACUGCCUGUUGAAUAUAUAGACAGGUCAGAGCCAACCCAGCGAAUUGAAACAUCUUAGUAGCUGGAGGAAAAGAAAUCAAUCCGAGAUUCCCCAAGUAGUGGUGAGCGAACGGGGAAGAGCCUAAACCAACGAGCUUGCUUGUUGGGGUCGUGGGACAGCGAUAUCGAAUCUGGCGGUUAGACGAAGCAGAUAAAUACUGCACCAAAGAAGGUGAGAGUCCUGUAGUCGAAAACUAAAGGAUAGUAGCUGAAUCCCGAGUAGCAUGGGGCACGAGGAAUCCCAUGUGAAUCAGCGAGGACCACCUCGUAAGGCUAAAUACUACUGUGUGACCGAUAGUGAACCAGUACCGCGAGGGAAAGGUGAAAAGAACCCCGAUAAGGGGAGUGAAAUAGAACAUGAAACCAUUAGCUUACAAGCAGUGGGAGGACGAUUCAACGUCUGACCGCGUGCCUGUUGAAGAAUGAGCCGGCGAGUUAUAAGCACUGGUAGGUUAAGUCACGGACGUAGCCAAAGCGAAAGCGAGUCUGAAAAGGGCGCUGAUCAGUGUUUAUAGACCCGAACCCGGGUGAUCUAACCAUGUCCAGGAUGAAGCUUGGGUAACACCAAGUGGAGGUCCGAACCGACCGAUGUUGAAAAAUCGGCGGAUGAGGUGUGGUUAGGGGUGAAAUGCCAAUCGAACCCGGAGCUAGCUGGUUCUCCCCGAAAUGUGUUGAGGCGCAGCGGUAACGACUAUACCUGGGGGGUAAAGCACUGUUGAGGUGCGGGCUGGGAGACCGGUACCAAAUCUCGACAAACUCAGAAUACCCAGAGAACACGUUGCCAGUGAGACGGUGGGGGAUAAGCUUCAUCGUCAAGAGGGAAACAGCCCAGACCACCAGCUAAGGUCCCCAAAUCAUCGCUAAGUGGCAAAGGAGGUGGGAGUGCACAGACAACCAGGAGGUUUGCCUAGAAGCAGCCACCCUUGAAAGAGUGCGUAAUAGCUCACUGGUCAAGCGCUCCUGCGCCGAAAAUGAAUGGGACUAAGCGAUGUACCGAAGCUGUGGACUUAGAAAUAAGUGGUAGGGGAGCGUUCCGUAGUAGAGAGAAGCACUAGCGGCGAGCAGGUGUGGACGAAACGGAAGUGAGAAUGUCGGCUUGAGUAGCGCAAACAUUGGUGAGAAUCCAAUGCCCCGAAACCCCAAGGGUUCCAGAGCCAGGUUCGUCCACUCUGGGUUAGUCGGGACCUAAGGCGAGGCUGAAAAGCGUAGUCGAUGGACACAGGGUCAACAAUCCCUGACUAUUAAGCCGGAGCAUACACUCGACGCAUAAAGAUAAGCUACACCCUGACUGGAUUGGGAGGUGUCUACGGACGCCGCGUAGUGAAAAUAGUGCCAAGAAAAGCGGUGUAUGUGAUGAAAGCUUAGUACCCGUACCCCAAACCGACACAGGUGGGGGGGUAGAGAAUACUAAGGGGCGCGAGAUAACUCUCUCUAAGGAACUCGGCAAAAUGGCCCCGUAACUUCGGAAGAAGGGGUACCCGAGCAAUCGGGUCGCAGUGAAGAGGCCCAGGCGACUGUUUACCAAAAACACAGGUCUCCGCCAACUCGUAAGAGGAAGUAUGGGGGCUGACGCCUGCCCAGUGCCGGAAGGUUAAGGAAGUUGGUCAGGGGUUCGCCCUAAAGCUGACGACUGAAGCCCCGGUGAACGGCGGCCGUAACUAUAACGGUCCUAAGGUAGCGAAAUUCCUUGUCGGGUAAGUUCCGACCCGCACGAAAGGCGUAACGAUCUGGGCACUGUCUCGGAGAGAGACUCGGCGAAAUAGGAACGUCUGUGAAGAUACGGACUACCUGCACCUGGACAGAAAGACCCUAUGAAGCUUUACUGUAGCCUGGAAUUGGGUCCGGGCUUGGCUUGCGCAGGAUAGGUGGGAGGCAUUGAAACACUCCUUGUGGGGAGUGUGGAGCCAACGGUGAGAUACCACUCUGGCGAAGCUAGGAUUCUAACCCGUUUCCGUCAUCCGGAAAGGAGACAGUUUCAGGUGGGCAGUUUGACUGGGGCGGUCGCCUCCUAAAAGGUAACGGAGGCGCACAAAGGUUCCCUCAGCACGCUUGGAAACCGUGCGUUGAGUGUAAAGGCAAUAAGGGAGCUUGACUGCAAGACCAACAAGUCGAGCAGGGGGGAAACACGGUCUUAGUGAUCCGACGGCACAGCGUGGAAUGGCCGUCGCUCAACGGAUAAAAGUUACUCUAGGGAUAACAGGCUGAUCUCCCCCAAGAGUCCACAUCGACGGGGAGGUUUGGCACCUCGAUGUCGGCUCAUCGCAACCUGGGGCGGAAGUACGUCCCAAGGGUUGGGCUGUUCGCCCAUUAAAGCGGUACGUGAGCUGGGUUCAGAACGUCGUGAGACAGUUCGGUCCAUAUCCGGUGCAGGCGUAAGAGUAUUGAGAGGAGCCCUCCUUAGUACGAGAGGACCGGGAGGGACGCACCGCUGGUGUACCAGUUAUCGUGCCAACGGUAAACGCUGGGUAGCCAAGUGCGGAGCGGAUAACCGCUGAAAGCAUCUAAGUGGGAAGCCCACCUCAAGAUGAGUACUCUCACAGCAAUAAGCUGGUAAGGUCACAGGAAGAACACCUGUUGAUAGGCGGGCGGUGUAAGUGCAGUGAUGUGCUCAGCCAACCCGUGCUAAUAGACCGAGGGCUUGACUUCAACAACAUUGAUGAAUGAAAUUCGCGUUACUGUGCAGCCUUCAGGGUUUUGAAUCAGUUCUCAGUUAUGACUUAUCACUAAAGAUGAUGCAUGAUAACUGUUAACUGUUUACUGACCACUGUUUUUCCUGGUGCCUAUGGCGCGGUGGAACCACUCUGACCCCAUCCCGAACUCAGUUGUGAAACGCUGCUGUGGCGACGAUAGUUGGCGGGUAGCUGCCUGUGACAAUAGCUCGGUGCCAGGAC
This 5400-nucleotide ribosomal RNA is filed under the name Kalymmatonema hyalinum. Lineage: Bacteria; Bacillati; Cyanobacteriota; Cyanophyceae; Nostocales; Scytonemataceae. The record is from RNAcentral.